Peromyscus maniculatus bairdii (prairie deer mouse) is the source of this 603-nucleotide non-coding RNA. The record is from RefSeq and is a predicted model, not a curated record. NCBI's taxonomy places the organism in Eukaryota, Metazoa, Chordata, Mammalia, Rodentia, Cricetidae.
UGGCACAGCACUGUGAGCAUACUAAAGCCCACAGAACUUUACACUUUGAAAGGGUGCUGUAUGGCUGGACAUGGAAGCAUAUGGUUUAAAGACAGGUCACGGGCCCCAGCUCCACUCUGCCAGGCACACGUGCUCCAGUUUGGACUCAGUACGAGCUGCAGCAGCAGCAGCAGCAGCAGCAGCAGCAGCAGCGAGAGAGAGGAGCAGAGAUCAGCUCUGAAGAACAUCUGGACUCAGGAACUCAUUGCUGACCACAGGCAAGCCAGGCCUGCAGCACCUCUGGGAGUUCCAGGAGGAAAUGAGGGUGAAGGGGGGGGGCCAGAUGGAAGGCUGCGGAGGAAAAGUAGACGGCAUCGUGCGUCCUGGCUACCUGCCCCACAUUGACCGUCAGCUGGAACCUUACACCCUCACAGGCUGUACCUCACAGCGACUCUGGGCUGUCUUUCCAUUCACAAUUAGGAAGGCACACUCUGUUGGCUCUGCCCAGCUGUCUGGGACCCCUCGGACCAAGCUUGCGGCAGAAGAAGGCUGUCAUCUUAAAGGGACCCCCUGCCCAGUUCCUGCUCUCCCCAGCUAGCCCUGUCAACAUGCCCAGGCAUUUUA